UAAAGAUACAGAGAAAAUGGGAAAUAAAUGAGAGAAGAGGAAAUCCAGUGAAAGCCAACCUGAAACAUGAGGUAAUGUUACUAGAGGGGUGUGUGUGCAGUAGAAUCAAUGUAGAUGAAACAUGAGGUAAUGUUACUAGAGGGGGGUGUGUGCAGUAGAAUCAAUGUAGAUGAAACAUGAGGUAAUGUUACUAGAGGGGUGUGUGUGCAGUAGAAUCAAUGUAGAUGAAACAUGAGGUAAUGUUACUAGAGGGGUGUGUGUGCAGUAGAAUCAAUGUAGAUGAAACAUGAGGUAAUGUUACUAGAGGGGUGUGUGUGCAGUAGAAUCAAUGUAGAUGAAACAUGAGGUAAUGUUACUAGAGGGGUGUGUGUGCAGUAGAAUCAAUGUAGAUGAAACAUGAGGUAAUGUUACUAGAGGGAUGUGUGUGCAGUAGAAUCAAUGUAGAUGAAACAUGAGGUAAUGUUACUAGAGGGGUGUGUGUGCAGUAGAAUCAAUGUAGAUGAAACAUGAGGUAAUGUUACUAGAGGGGUGUGUGUGCAGUAGAAUCAAUGUAGAUGAAACAUGAGGUAAUGUUACUAGAGGGGGGUGUGUGCAGUAGAAUCAAUGUAGAUGAAACAUGAGGUAAUGUUACUAGAGGGGUGUGUGUGCAGUAGAAUCAAUGUAGAUGAAACAUGAGGUAAUGUUACUAGAGGGGUGUGUGUGCAGUAGAAUCAAUGUAGAUGAAACAUGAGGUAAUGUUACUAGAGGGGUGUGUGUGCAGUAGAAUCAAUGUAGAUGAAACAUGAGGUAAUGUUACUAGAGGGGUGUGUGUGCAGUAGAAUCAAUGUAGAUGAAACAUGAGGUAAUGUUACUAGAGGGGUGUGUGUGUGCAGUAGAAUCAAUGUAGAUGAAACAUGAGGUAAUGUUACUAGAGGGGUGUGUGUGCAGUAGAUUCAAUGUAGAUGAAACAUGAGGUAAUGUUACUAGAGGGGUGUGUGUGCAGUAGAAUCAAUGUAGAUGAAACAUGAGGUAAUGUUACUAGAGGGGUGUGUGUGCAGUAGAAUCAAUGUAGAUGAAACAUGAGGUAAUGUUACUAGAGGGGUGUGUGUGCAGUAGAAUCAAUGUAAAUGAAACACGAGGUAAUGUUACUAGAGGGGUGUGUGUGUGCAGUAGAAUCAAUGGUUUGCAGUUUAACUUUAGUGCCUUAUUGCAAACAGGAUGCAUUCAUUUAGGUUAGGUUAGUAUCGUGGUGUAACUACAAUGUUGUUUAUCCAUCCUCAGUUUCCUAUCACAGUCUAUCACAGUCACCAUUGGCCUUAUGGUGAAAUCAAUGAGCGGUUUUCUUCCUCACUGGCAACUAAGUUAGGAAGGACGCCUGUAUUUUUGUAGUGACUGGGUGUAUCGAUACAUCAUCCAAAGUGUAAUUAAUAACUUCACCAUGCUCAAAGGGAAACUCAAUGUCUGCUUUAAAAAAAAUGUAAUCACCUAUCUACCAAUGAGUGCUCUUCUUUGCAAGGCAUUGGAAAACCUCCCUGGUCUUUGUGGUUGAAUCCAUGUUUGAAAUUCACUGCACGACUGAGGGACCUUAAAGAUAAUUGUAUGUGUGCGGUACAGAGAUGAGGUAGUCAUUUAAAAAUGAAUGUUAAGCACUAUUAAUCCACAGAGUGAGGCCAUGCAAAUUAUUAUGUGACUUGUUAAUCAAUUUGUACUCCUGACCGUAUUUAGACCAUAACAAAAGGGUUGAAUACUUAUUGACUCAAGACAUUUCAGCUUUUCAUUUUGAAUUCAAUUGUGUCUAUGCCAGUGACACAGAAUCUGAAAUGAAUUCCUUUAAAAUUCAGGAUGUAACACAACAAAAAUGUUGAGAAAUUCAAGGGGUGUGAAAAUACCUUCUAAAGGCACAGUCAAUUGAUUGCAUUAAAACAGAUUCAUAUCUUUGGUUUGGUACUGUUGAUUUUAUCAUACACGCCUUUCCAUCGCAGGACUUGCUCUCUUUAUGAAAGCUGCUAGCCACAAACAAAUACAUGGAUUGGACAGUCAAGCUAGCACUCAAAUGAGAGGCAAUCCAUGUCACUAUUUAGAACUUCCUGUGGAGAGAUUAUUUGUUAAAAAUGAUCCAGUCAAAAGUGUGUCCUUUUUCGUAUUGGCCAUAUCUACUGUAAACACUGUCCCACAAGGACAUGAGUUGACAAAUGGCGACUACAGGUUUAUGGAUCGAGAGUUAUAUUGUUUAUGUAGUAUACGCAAGUUCGUUGUGGUUUGUCUUUCGGAGGAGGGCUAUGGGCACAUGUAAUGGCAGCAAAUUGUCCUGGUUCCAUUGAUUUUCAUACAAUAUCGAUGUGACAGAUUAAUAUGCGCACGCUAUUGAUUACAGUAGAUUUCAGUCUAUAUACAUGACGACAGGAAGCAGCAACAGUACAACAGUUUCUACUUAUGUUUUAGGAAUAUUAAUGGUACUAUUAACAAUAUUUUUCAACAUGAUUAGACCUAAAUCAGGUAAAAACUACUGAAUGAGCCCAAAAAAACGUGCUAUGAUUUAUUGAUUUGAAUGAUAUUAGUGAAAUUGUGAAAAGGAGUGUGUCCUGGCUAGCAAGAUGACCAUUUAUUUUUUGCGCCUACUAUAUACCAGAAGUAUUCAAAUCCUACCCUAUGAGUUCCAGACUACUGCUGGUCUUCUGUUCAACCUGGUAAUUAAUUGCAACCACCUGGUGUGCCAGGUCUAAAUCAGUCCCUGAUUAGAAGGGAAGAAUGGAAAAAAACGAAUGCAACUGGCUUCAAAGUACAAAUUUGAAUUUGAGGGCUAUAUAAGAGCCAUGUACUUAGAUAGACAUAUGCUUUUGGGCUACAUAGUUUGAUCUGAGGUCUUUAGAAUGAGUUACUUAACUGGGAAUCUAGAACAGGCAUUUCUCGUAAUGUGCUCGUCCAUUCCUGUAGUUUAGGUGUGUAGUGUGAUAACAUACAUACUGUACCUAGGCUUCUGAAAGGCACGGUCACACAACAGGUUUAGCAGGUCUUUCCUUGAAAAUGAAUCACUACAUUUUUUUCAUCAUAAUCAGUCGAUAUUCUGCGUUAAUAACAAUAGGUCGAUUUGACCCGAGGCAGAGACCAGACCGUAGUCUUCCCACCUCAAGCUACAUUACCCCAUCUAAAAAGUAAAUUAUUUUUAUGAUUACCAUCUAAAAAAGACACUUUAACUGACAUGAUGUGGGCCUAUUGUUACUGUCAAGUGUUUUGUUUUAAAAGCAGUUUGAUUGGCUAAGACCAUCCCAUGUGUUUCUAUACGCCCCUAUCAGGGUAUCU
Long non-coding RNA from Oncorhynchus keta (chum salmon), 3279 nucleotides. RefSeq lists it as uncharacterized. NCBI's taxonomy places the organism in Eukaryota, Metazoa, Chordata, Actinopteri, Salmoniformes, Salmonidae. The transcript has 4 exons. The record is from RefSeq and is a predicted model, not a curated record.